AUCUCUCUCUCACUUCACCUUUUCACGUUUUCCUUUUCUUAUUAAUCACCUCUCUCUUCAUCUUCACCUCCCUCUCUCUGUCAUCUCUCUCUUCAUCUUCACCUCCCGCAACCCUAGCCGCCACCACAGUCCCUUCUCCCUUCCAUACAACCCCUUCUCCAUUCUCGCAUAUUUUGCACGAAAAAUAGAGAAACCGUGAUUUGGUGUCGUUGUUGUAUGAAUCGAAAGUGAGUCGGUGAUGAUUGUUGAAACACAGUGGUUGUGUGAACCGAGAUUGAGCCGGUGAUGAUUGUUGAAACAUCGUUCUUCAUCCGUUCCGAUUUCUUCCCUUUUACAUAUUCAUAUGCGAGUUCUUCCGUGUUACAUUGUUCUUCAGAUAUUUAGGGUUUGUAGGUUACCUAUUUCCUUUUCUUGAAAUUUUGUGAAUUCAAAGAAGAGCUUCACUUAAGAUGCAUAAUAUGUCUUGGAAGAAGAUGCAACUCUCAAGCCAUUCAAAUAAUAUAAGUAUAGUAUAAAAAAGCUCAGGAAAAUUGGGGAUGUUUUAACUAUUGUUGUUGUUACAGUAUACUAUUUUUUAAUCCUUCUUUCGAUAGCCUUAGAUAAUUAAUUUUCAAAUUCUAGUUUUUUCUCUUUCAACUUUUUGUGUUUUGGUUUGUUUUAUUGAACUUUCAAUUUCUAAAGGUGCUGGUUAUAUGACAAUGGUGGUCGCUGGAAAACUAGGGAGACGAGGAAGGAAAGUGUGAAUACCUCGUGACUUUUAUUCUUGCUGCCGCCAACCAUCCAUCAGGGCGUUAUGAUGACCUUAAGGGGAACAAGUUUAGGGAAGCUGGAGAAGUAUUUAACAAGCUAUUGAAUGAUGAGAAUUCACCUUUGAAACCCGAUCUGAAGAUGGUUGUAAGAUUAAGAAUGUAGGAUAAUUACACUGUAGGCUUUUUCAAAGUUAACAAAGCCACUGUGAACAUGUUCACAGGGUAGAGCCUCAUGUUACAUAUGGGUAUGCAAAAUGUAAAACUAACAAAAUUUAAUGCUUAGGG
Long non-coding RNA from Vicia villosa (hairy vetch), 1034 nucleotides. RefSeq lists it as uncharacterized. The transcript has 3 exons. Lineage: Eukaryota; Viridiplantae; Streptophyta; Magnoliopsida; Fabales; Fabaceae. The record is from RefSeq and is a predicted model, not a curated record.